RNAcentral lists this ribosomal RNA (514 nucleotides) under Ctenopleura fisheri. RNAcentral's name for it is "partial 16S ribosomal RNA". It matches the Rfam family "Bacterial large subunit ribosomal RNA", at positions 1856 to 2566 of the family's 2925-position model. Lineage: Eukaryota; Metazoa; Echinodermata; Asteroidea; Paxillosida; Astropectinidae. The record is from RNAcentral.
UGCCUGCCCAGUGACAAUAGUUAAAUGGCCGCGGUAUUUUGACCGUGCAAAGGUAGCAUAAUCAUUUGCCUUUUAAAUGGAGGCUGGUAUGAAUGGCAAGACGGAAGUUUAGCUGUCUCUUUUUUAGGAUCUGAAUUUUAUAUCUUUGUGAAGAAGCGAAGAUGCAAUCGUAGGACGAGAAGACCCUAUCGAGCUUUAAUUUUAUAAUAAGAUUUUGAAAUUUUGUCUUAGGCUAAUUUUUUAAUAAAAUAAUGUUACUUAAGAUAGAAAUAAUGAUUGUUAUUAAACAAUUUUGGUUGGGGCAACCGCGGAGAAGAAAAAUCCUCCGCUAUUUUGAUUAAAAAAAUUAUUAUUUUUAAAUGAAUAAAAAUUAUAUAAAUGAUCCACCUUUAGGUGAUCAAAAGAACAAGUUACCGUAGGGAUAACAGCGUAAUUUCUUUAGAGAGUUCAUAUUGAUAAAGGAGUUUGCGACCUCGAUGUUGGAUCGGGACUUCCAGGAAAUGCAGCAGUUUCC